CGAAAGCAUCCUUGGGUGAUAUGAAAGCCUUAACCUGCAUUAUUUUUAAACUAGAUGUGAUCUACCUAGGACCUAACAGUUACUAUAGUGUAUAAAUUGCAGGUUAUAAAGGGAUUCUAAUUAGACUCUUGACUUUUCUUUUUAAAGGUUAAAGAGGCUCUCAGCCUGCCUCUAGUGGUGAAGUGGGGGGAGUAGUGGAAACAAGGUGAAGACCGUGCAGACUCAGCUCCUCCUGGCCAGGAAGAAGUCACCCGUUCCUGCGUCCUGGGUUCCCAUGAUCACUGUGAGACUUCCCUCUACCUCUGACAGGAUACACACACACCAGGGCAACCAGACCCUCCUGUGCUAGAAGUGGAUCACUUGCUCUGCAGGUUGCUUCCAUCAUGGGAUUCCCCCUUCACAGCAGACACGGGCAGCAGACAGCGAGAGGCAAAGUGAUCACUCCUUACGUGGUGAUCAUAGAGAGCGAGCGAGCAACGG
RNAcentral lists this long non-coding RNA (480 nucleotides) under Rhinolophus ferrumequinum (greater horseshoe bat). Its description in RNAcentral is "lncRNA (ENSRFEG00010015975.1)". The record is from RNAcentral. Lineage: Eukaryota; Metazoa; Chordata; Mammalia; Chiroptera; Rhinolophidae.